GGAGAUAGGGUCAGUUGGUAACGACAUGCCCCUGUCACGGGCAAAGUGCGGGUUCGAUUCCCGCUAUCUCCGCCA
RNAcentral lists this transfer RNA (75 nucleotides) under uncultured archaeon. RNAcentral's name for it is "tRNA-Asp(gtc)". It matches the Rfam family "tRNA". From Rfam's summary of the family: Transfer RNA (tRNA) molecules are approximately 80 nucleotides in length. Their secondary structure includes four short double-helical elements and three loops (D, anti-codon, and T loops). The record is from RNAcentral.